ACUAACAUGCUUCACCGUAGGGAUGGUGCCAGGUUUUUCUCCAAACUUGACGCUUGGCAUUCAUGCCAAAGAGUUCAGUCUUGGUUUCACCAGACCAGAGAAUCUUGUUUCUCAUGGUCUGAGAAUCCUUUAGGUGCCUUUUGGCAAACUCCAUGAGGGCUGUCAUGUGCCUUAUACUUAGGAGUGGCUUCUGUCUGGCCACUACCAUAAAGGCCUGAUUGGUGGAGUGCUGCAGAAAUAGUUGUCCUUCUGGAAGGUUCUCUCAUCCCCACAGAGGAUCUCUGGAUCUCUCAGAGUGACCAUCGGCUUCUUGGUCACCUCCCUGACCAAGGUCCUUCUCCCCCGAAUGCUCAAUUUGGCCACACAUGCUUUCUGAAUGCACUGUAUACGUAUGUAUUGCGAUUCGAUGCUGUGAUUGUAUUGCGAUCCGAUUUUCCAAACAUAUUGCUCACCAUAUGUCUGCCGCAGAGGGUCAAGAGAGAGCCAUGAGAAAAUGAAUUUCGAGGUGUAAUAGAAAUAAACGUGCUGAAAUUAAUUGUCUCCCUAUUUUUUUUAAAGAUGGUGUCACGUACUGACCAGUAUAAGGGGUUAUUUGUUAUUGUAGUUUGGUCAGGACGUGGCAGGGGUGUGUUUGUUUAGAGUGUUUCGGGGUUUGUUGGGCUAUGUUCUGUUUUAAGAGGGGUGUUUGUUUAGAGUGUUUCGGGGUUUGUUGGGCUAUGUUCUGUUUUGAGAGGGGUGGUUGUUUAGAGUGUUUAGGGGUUUGUUGGGUUAUAUUCUAGUAUGUCUAUUUCUAUGUGGUGUUUGUUGGGUUGACCUUCAAUUGGAAGCAGCUGCUCCUAGUUGCUUCUAAUUGAAGGUCCUAUUUAAGAGGGGGGUGUUUUCUAUGGGAUUUUGUGGGUUGUUGUUUCCUGUUUAGCUGUGUGCCUGACAAGACUGUUAUCGUCGUUGUUUUUGUAUACGUGUGUUUUGUUUCGGUUUUCCUUCUUUCUGCCUAUUAAAAAGAAGAUGAGUAUACACAUUCCCGCUGCGUUUUCGUCUAAUCCUUACGACACCCGUGACAGAUGGAGAACAAGCUAUGAAGGAAC
Molecule: long non-coding RNA, 1085 nt
Filed under: Salmo salar (Atlantic salmon)
Lineage: Eukaryota; Metazoa; Chordata; Actinopteri; Salmoniformes; Salmonidae
Description: lncRNA (ENSSSAG00000111764.1)
Source: RNAcentral